GAGGGGGAGGACGGGAGGAACGGAAGGCGGGGUUUGUCCAGUCCUCACUCCUCUCCUCCCGUCUUCUCCCUCU
This 73-nucleotide microRNA precursor is filed under the name Erinaceus europaeus (western European hedgehog). RNAcentral's name for it is "mir-483 microRNA precursor family". It matches the Rfam family "mir-483 microRNA precursor family". The record is from Rfam by way of RNAcentral. Lineage: Eukaryota; Metazoa; Chordata; Mammalia; Eulipotyphla; Erinaceidae.